AGCUAUAUGUACCUGGAAGAUUAGAUAACAAACUGUUAUCAGAAAACAUCUUAGUGCAACAGGAUGGGCAGCGCGAAGAUUGUUGGCCAAGAUUAAAUCAUGAAUUUUCUCAACACUCCUAUGAAGUCGUUAAAGGAGAAGAAGUAGAGAAAGAAUGACAAAAAGUUAUAUAUUAAAAGCAGCAAGUUUGGACCUCCCUGGUGGCACAAAGGUUAAGAAUCCACCUGCCAAUGCAGAGAACAUGGGUUCAAGCCCUGGUCUGGGAAGAUCCCACAUGCUGUGGAGCAACUAAGCCCGUGUGCCACAACUACUGAAGCCCGCGCGCCUAGAGCCUGUGCUCCGCAACAAGGGAAGCCACCGCAAUGAGGCGCCCACGCACCACAAUAAAGAGUAGCCCCCGCUUGCUGCAACUAGAGAAAGUCUGCGCACAGCAACAAAGACCCAGUGCAGCCAAAAAUAAAAAUAAAUAAAAUAUAAAUAAAAUGUUUUAAAAAGCAGCAAGUUUACAAAACUCUUAGCUUGACAAAUAUCUUAUAAAUUCUUUCUUUAAAUGCUAAGGGCUACAAAAUAUAAUUUAGUACCUAUGAGCUUCUAGGAGCUAUUUACCACUUUAAUAAUUAACAAGCCAUACAUUAACAUUUAAAAAGUCAUAAAAAUUUACAUCUAUAAGUGAUUUUACUUAAUAGGUUACCAAUAUGCAUUCUGAGCAAUAGAAGGGGAACAGCACUAAUAAAAUGUAUACUGAACUCAGUAAAAGUAAUUUAUGCAACUAGUGCUCAAUUGAUGACGAGGGCAAGUUAUAGGCUGGUUAUACGUCAUGGUUUCAUCUGUCCCUAACAAAUGAUUCUUGCCACACUGCCUCCUGUAAUUAGGAGUGACACUCUGCUUGGAGGCAAAGGCAUGCACAGAGUGGCCUUUCAAAAUUCCUUUGAGAAGACCGUGAUAAAUUUCAAAGCAACAUCUAGUAAAUGGUAGAGUAAGACACAGAUCUGAGAGUGGAAACCAUUUCAGAUUGAAGUAAUCAGGGCAUAGUCCUUUCUUAAAAAAAUACUUUGCAUAUCUUCUCAAAAUAUAAGAUGAGCAAAUCAACAAUUAUUUAGUGACAACAGUACAUAGAGAAAAACAAAAUCCUUGAAUAAAUAACUUAGUGAGAAUAAAAUAAAUCAGUCCUGCACAAUUUACAUCUCUCUUGCCUCUUUGAAAUUAGAUGUACCCUGGUACCCUGGUAAGUCAUGGAAAAGUAGAACAAUAUUUAACUGCAAAUUUCUAGUAAACAAAUUCCACUUCCAGUGUGUGAGAAUUUUGAGUCAUUUUUUUGUGGGAACUGAUUAGCAAAAGAAAAAAUAGAAUCUGAAAUGGGAAAUGGAAAUAGAGCAGAUGGCAAUAAAUCAGUGUAGAUUUUAAUAAUAAAAGUUUAGGAAAGAAGACAAAAGAUAAGAGAAAAAUAUUCUCAAGUUUUACUGUGCUGUCUCGUGCUGAAAGAAAGAGAACUAGGAAGACAAAUAAACAAUGGAGUCAUCUCACAAUCAAAAAGGCAUUAAAUCCUGAGUGAGGAACCAGAAUCAGGGGAAAAAGCUUUUUACAAUGUUUAUUAUCUACAGUAAGAUACAUUUCUAAGUGUCUCCUUGAUAUAGUAGUGGAUUGAGUAUCAGACAUAAACUAUUGAGGUUUGGUGAAUUAAAAAAAAAAACCUAAUAAAAUAAUUAUUGUUAAUUUAAGAUGUAAAAAUUGCCCUAAUAUUGUCUUUAUUUGUUGAUGUAUUAUUUUAUUUUAGCAUAGACAACACACAUUGUUAAUGGUCUUUAUAUGUUUACUCUCAACUUGAGUCCCCACAGUUUUUUCUUCCUAUAGAAAUAUUUCAUCAACUAAAUAGAAAUAGUUCUCUUGUAUUAUCUGAUGAUGAUAAAAGUAAUCAAUGUUUUGUGUAAAACACUCAGAAAUAAACUAUAACUCUCAUAUAUUGCUGAUGGGAAUGCAAAAUGGAACAUCUACUCUGAAAAGAGUUUUGAAGUUUUUUAUUUAAAGUUAAAUAUACACUUACCAUAUGAUCCAGACAUUCUGCUCCUAGGUAUUUACCCAAGAGAAAUGAAAUACUCUCCUACAAAAUAAUCUGUAAA
Orcinus orca (killer whale) is the source of this 2117-nucleotide long non-coding RNA. RefSeq lists it as uncharacterized. The record is from RefSeq and is a predicted model, not a curated record. NCBI's taxonomy places the organism in Eukaryota, Metazoa, Chordata, Mammalia, Artiodactyla, Delphinidae. The transcript is spliced from 3 exons.